GAUGAACGCUAGCGGGAGGCCUAACACAUGCAAGCCGAGCGGUAUUUGUUCUUCGGAACAGAGAGAGCGGCGCACGGGUGCGGAACACGUGUGCAACCUGCCUUUAUCUGGGGGAUAGCCUUUCGAAAGGAAGAUUAAUACCCCAUAAUAUAUUAAGUGGCAUCAUUUGAUAUUGAAAACUCCGGUGGAUAGAGAUGGGCACGCGCAAGAUUAGAUAGUUGGUGAGGUAACGGCUCACCAAGUCAAUGAUCUUUAGGGGGCCUGAGAGGGUGAUCCCCCACACUGGUACUGAGACACGGACCAGACUCCUACGGGAGGCAGCAGUGAGGAAUAUUGGACAAUGGGUUAGCGCCUGAUCCAGCCAUCCCGCGUGAAGGACGACGGCCCUAUGGGUUGUAAACUUCUUUUGUAUAGGGAUAAACCUACUCUCGUGAGAGUAGCUGAAGGUACUAUACGAAUAAGCACCGGCUAACUCCGUG
This 479-nucleotide ribosomal RNA is filed under the name uncultured bacterium. RNAcentral's name for it is "partial 16S ribosomal RNA". It matches the Rfam family "Bacterial small subunit ribosomal RNA", at positions 28 to 507 of the family's 1533-position model. The record is from RNAcentral.